This 450-nucleotide ribosomal RNA is filed under the name uncultured bacterium. Its description in RNAcentral is "bacterial SSU rRNA". It matches the Rfam family "Bacterial small subunit ribosomal RNA", at positions 354 to 796 of the family's 1533-position model. The record is from RNAcentral.
GUGGGGAAUUUUGGACAAUGGGCGCAAGCCUGAUCCAGCCAUUCCGCGUGCAGGAUGAAGGCCUUCGGGUUGUAAACUGCUUUUGUACGGAACGAAAAGCCUCUGGUUAAUACCCGGGGGUCAUGACGGUACCGUAAGAAUAAGCACCGGCUAACUACGUGCCAGCAGCCGCGGUAAUACGUAGGGUGCGAGCGUUAAUCGGAAUUACUGGGCGUAAAGCGUGCGCAGGCGGUGAUGUAAGACAGUUGUGAAAUCCCCGGGCUCAACCUGGGAACUGCAUCUGUGACUGCAUUGCUGGAGUGCGGCAGAGGGGGAUGGAAUUCCGCGUGUAGCAGUGAAAUGCGUAGAUAUGCGGAGGAACACCGAUGGCGAAGGCAAUCCCCUGGGCCUGCACUGACGCUCAUGCACGAAAGCGUGGGGAGCAAACAGGAUUAGAAACCCGUGUAGUCC